This 96-nucleotide transfer RNA is filed under the name Xylaria longipes. RNAcentral's name for it is "tRNA-Leu". It matches the Rfam family "tRNA". From Rfam's summary of the family: Transfer RNA (tRNA) molecules are approximately 80 nucleotides in length. Their secondary structure includes four short double-helical elements and three loops (D, anti-codon, and T loops). Further hydrogen bonds mediate the characteristic L-shaped molecular structure. tRNAs have two regions of fundamental functional importance: the anti-codon, which is responsible for specific mRNA codon recognition, and the 3' end, to which the tRNAs corresponding amino acid is attached (by aminoacyl-tRNA synthetases). tRNAs cope with the degeneracy of the genetic code in two manners: having more than one tRNA (with a specific anti-codon) for a particular amino acid; and 'wobble' base-pairing, i.e. permitting non-standard base-pairing at the 3rd anti-codon position. Lineage: Eukaryota; Fungi; Ascomycota; Sordariomycetes; Xylariales; Xylariaceae. The record is from RNAcentral.
GGUGAGAUGGCCGAGUGGUUAUGGCGCUGCGUUCAGGAUGUCUGAGCAAAUUUCGCAGUGGAGCAAUCCGCGUGGGUUCGAGUCCCACUCUCAUCA